UCAGCUCCUCAAUAUAAUGGAUCUAAAACGGUUAACCAACCAGUUUUGACUCAAACUGGGCUGUUAUCAAAUGUUAUUGAUUAUGCAGAAGCAACAGUGUUGACAUUUUCAUCAAGUAUUACACGGGAUCCAACUGUAGGUUUCUCACGCUCACAGGAAUAACCUCGAGAUGGACAAUGACCAGAUUGGGCUAAAGAGU
This is a long non-coding RNA of Etheostoma cragini (Arkansas darter), 199 nucleotides long. RefSeq lists it as uncharacterized. The transcript has 3 exons. The record is from RefSeq and is a predicted model, not a curated record. Lineage: Eukaryota; Metazoa; Chordata; Actinopteri; Perciformes; Percidae.